RNAcentral lists this ribosomal RNA (609 nucleotides) under Triticum aestivum (bread wheat). RNAcentral describes it as "partial small subunit ribosomal RNA". Lineage: Eukaryota; Viridiplantae; Streptophyta; Magnoliopsida; Poales; Poaceae. The record is from RNAcentral.
AUGGUUAUAACGCUGUGGUCAUUAUGGUAUGCUAGGAGGAAGGCUAUAUAUGAAUUGAUUUUUCAGAGCCCUCAACAAACAGCGUCCUUUAUUAAUAACUACAUUGAUGAGCUGGGCCAAGUGAACGCCAAGGGAGUGCAGGAAGGUACUCCUAGUGUUGCACCACCACGACCGAAGCGGUGGCUUCGCCCACCGAGUGGCAAUGCGAAGAUUAAUGUUGAUGGGGCUGUGGUGAGAACACGGAGAGGUGGAGCUAUUGCAUCUCUAUGCCGUGACCAAGACGGACAAUACUUGGGGUCAUCGGCUGUGGUUUACUAUGGGAUCACUGAUCCCUUAACGUUGGAGACUUAUGCAUGCCGCGAGGCCCUUGCUUUGGCAGACGAUCUGGGAGAGCAGAAGGUCUGCGUGUCCUCGGACUGCCAAGAGGCGAUGAAUGACAUAAAUAGGGGAACAGGAGGCCCUAAUGCUGUGUUGGUACGUGAAAUAAUGAAUCGCUGUAAUAGUUUUAUUUCUUGCUCUUUUGUUUUCGAGCGUAGUGUCAUGGAAUUGUCACGGCAGAUGUCCUUAGUGUCAGGACUUAGUAGCGAGGCCAACGCAUCUAUGUGGUAG